This 450-nucleotide ribosomal RNA is filed under the name uncultured bacterium. RNAcentral describes it as "partial 16S ribosomal RNA". It matches the Rfam family "Bacterial small subunit ribosomal RNA", at positions 338 to 795 of the family's 1533-position model. The record is from RNAcentral.
CCUACGGGGGGCUGCAGUGGGGAAUUUUGGACAAUGGGCGCAAGCCUGAUCCAGCCAUGCCGCGUGCAGGAUGAAGGCCUUCGGGUUGUAAACUGCUUUUGUACGGAACGAAAAGGUGCCUUCUAAUAAAGGGCGCUCAUGACGGUACCGUAAGAAUAAGCACCGGCUAACUACGUGCCCGCAGCCGCGGUAAUACGUAGGGUGCAAGCGUUAAUCAGAGUGACUGCAGGUGAUUUGUGCGCAGGGAGGUGAAAUCCCCGGGCUCAACCUGGGAACUGCCUUUGUGACUGCAAGGCUGGAGUGCGGCAGAGGGGGAUGGAAUUCCGCGUGUAGCAGUGAAAUGCGUAGAUAUGCGGAGGAACACCGAUGGCGAAGGCAAUCCCCUGGGCCUGCACUGACGCUCAUGCACGAAAGCGUGGGGAGCAAACAGGAUUAGAUACCCCAGUAGUC